UACGUAGGGUGCAAGCGUUAAUCGGAAUUACUGGGCGUAAAGCGUGCGCAGGCGGUGAUGUAAGACAGUUGUGAAAUCCCCGGGCUCAACCUGGGAACUGCAUCUGUGACUGCAUCGCUGGAGUGCGGCAGAGGGGGAUGGAAUUCCGGCGUGUAGCAGUGAAAUGCGUAGAUAUGCGGAGGAACACCGAUGGCGAAGGCAAUCCCCUGGGCCUGCACUGGACGCUCAUGCACGAAAGCGUGGGGAGCAAACAG
This 254-nucleotide ribosomal RNA is filed under the name uncultured bacterium. Its description in RNAcentral is "partial 16S ribosomal RNA". It matches the Rfam family "Bacterial small subunit ribosomal RNA", at positions 524 to 775 of the family's 1533-position model. The record is from RNAcentral.